UGGCAAAGAGGGGAUUUAACCCCUAUAUGUGAGUUUACAGCCCACCGCCUGUAUCGGCCACCUUACC
Molecule: transfer RNA, 67 nt
Filed under: Anolis punctatus (spotted anole)
Lineage: Eukaryota; Metazoa; Chordata; Lepidosauria; Squamata; Anolidae
Description: tRNA-Tyr
Source: RNAcentral